This 293-nucleotide long non-coding RNA is filed under the name Ananas comosus (pineapple). RNAcentral describes it as "long non-coding RNA (ACOM_LNC013874)". Lineage: Eukaryota; Viridiplantae; Streptophyta; Magnoliopsida; Poales; Bromeliaceae. The record is from RNAcentral.
GUUCGAUGUACAUAAAAUUAUUUUUAUGAAUUUGAAAAAAAUUUGAAAUUUUCAUUUUGCAUAGUUUUUCAACGGAGAACGAAAAUUCAAGCUGUGUAAAAUUUUUUUUCAUUUUUUUUUUUUCAUUGAACCAAGCACAUGUGAUAUUUUUUUUCCUUUAUUCAAGCAAACAAUAAUGAUGAAAAACUAUAUUUUUUUCUAUAAACUAAAUAUUAUAAAACAUAAAAUAUUUUUUUUCAUAAUUUUUUUUUUAAUAAUUUUACGUUGAACCAAACAGACCCAAAUGCUUCUUU